GAUGAACGCUGGCGGCGUGCUUAACACAUGCAAGUCGAACGGAAAGGCCCAAGCUUGCUUGGGUACUCGAGUGGCGAACGGGUGAGUAACACGUGGGUGAUCUGCCCUGCACUUCGGGAUAAGCCUGGGAAACUGGGUCUAAUACCGGAUAGGACCACUUCUUGGAUGUUGUGGUGGAAAGUUUUUUCGGUGUGGGAUGAGCUCGCGGCCUAUCAGCUUGUUGGUGGGGUAAUGGCCUACCAAGGCGUCGACGGGUAGCCGGCCUGAGAGGGUGUACGGCCACAUUGGGACUGAGAUACGGCCCAGACUCCUACGGGGGGCAGCAAUGGGGAAUAUUGCACAAUGGGCGCAAGCCUGAUGCAGCGACGCCGCGUGGGGGAUGACGGCCUUCGGGUUGUAAACUCCUUUCGCUAGGGACGAAGCGUUUUUGUGACGGUACCUGGAGAAGAAGCACCGGCUAACUACGUG
RNAcentral lists this ribosomal RNA (468 nucleotides) under uncultured bacterium. RNAcentral's name for it is "partial 16S ribosomal RNA". It matches the Rfam family "Bacterial small subunit ribosomal RNA", at positions 28 to 507 of the family's 1533-position model. The record is from RNAcentral.